RNAcentral lists this ribosomal RNA (1008 nucleotides) under uncultured Chromatiaceae bacterium. RNAcentral's name for it is "bacterial SSU rRNA". It matches the Rfam family "Bacterial small subunit ribosomal RNA", at positions 56 to 1073 of the family's 1533-position model. Lineage: Bacteria; Pseudomonadati; Pseudomonadota; Gammaproteobacteria; Chromatiales; Chromatiaceae. The record is from RNAcentral.
UGCAGUCGAGCGGGGUUUUCGGACCUAGCGGCGGACGGGUGAGUAAUGCGUAGGAAGCUACCCGAUAGAGGGGGAUACCAGUUGGAAACGACUGUUAAUACCGCAUAAUGUCUACGGACCAAAGUGUGGGACCUUCGGGCCACAUGCUAUCGGAUGCGCCUACGUGGGAUUAGCUAGUUGGUGAGGUAAUGGCUCACCAAGGCGACGAUCUCUAGCUGGUUUGAGAGGAUGAUCAGCCACACUGGAACUGAGACACGGUCCAGACUCCUACGGGAGGCAGCAGUGGGGAAUAUUGGACAAUGGGCGCAAGCCUGAUCCAGCCAUGCCGCGUGUGUGAAGAAGGCCUUCGGGUUGUAAAGCACUUUCAGCGAGGAGGAAGGGAGUUGUGUUAAUAGCACAGCUUCUUGGCGUUACUCGCAGAAGAAGCACCGGCUAACUCUGUGCCAGCAGCCGCGGUAAUACAGAGGGUGCAAGCGUUAAUCGGAAUUACUGGGCGUAAAGCGCACGUAGGCGGUUUUUUAAGUCAGAUGUGAAAGCCCCGGGCUCAACCUGGGAAUUGCAUUUGAAACUGGAAAACUAGAGUGUGUGAGAGGGGGGUAGAAUUCCAAGUGUAGCGGUGAAAUGCGUAGAGAUUUGGAGGAAUACCAGUGGCGAAGGCGGCCCCCUGGCACAACACUGACGCUCAGGUGCGAAAGCGUGGGGGGCAAACAGGAUUAGAUACCCUGGUAGUCCACGCCGUAAACGAUGUCUACUAGCUGUUCGUGGUCUUGUACUGUGAGUAGCGCAGCUAACGCACUAAGUAGACCGCCUGGGGAGUACGGUCGCAAGAUUAAAACUCAAAUGAAUUGACGGGGGCCUGCACAAGCGGUGGAGCAUGUGGUUUAAUUCGACGCACCGCGAAGAACCUUACCUACUCUUGACAUCUACGGAAGUUUGCAGAGAUGCAGAUGUGCCUUCGGGAACCGUAGACAGGUGCUGCAUGGCUGUCGUCAGCUCGUGUUGUGAAAU